UUGGGAAAGUUCUCAGAUGUCAAAAUAGGGGCUCUGCAUAUUAUGAAUUUCACAAUUAACUUCUCAGCAUACUAUACUGGUUAUUUGGUAUUCAUGUUAAGUUAGAUGGUUCUCAUCAUGCUAAACAGUGCUUCAGAUUGCAGUUACUCUAAGCAUAAGACCCUAUGUCCUAGGGUUUGGAACCAACUCCUUCAUUGCUUUGGUGAAUUAGACCCUUUUAAUUGUGAUUGCAGUAGAUUAGAAAGGAGUCCAUCUCCCAAAGAGUAUUCAAGUUUUAGAAUGGAAGCUGCUUUUCAGUCAUCACUGGAAUUUUCCUACGAGAAUCACUUACAUAAUCUACACAACCAAAUGCAGAAAGAAAACACAG
This 367-nucleotide long non-coding RNA is filed under the name Homo sapiens (human). RNAcentral describes it as "non-protein coding lnc-SH3BGRL2-7:1". The record is from RNAcentral. Lineage: Eukaryota; Metazoa; Chordata; Mammalia; Primates; Hominidae.